This 301-nucleotide ribosomal RNA is filed under the name uncultured bacterium. Its description in RNAcentral is "partial 16S ribosomal RNA". It matches the Rfam family "Bacterial small subunit ribosomal RNA", at positions 509 to 809 of the family's 1533-position model. The record is from RNAcentral.
CAGCCGCCACGGUAAUACGGAGGGAGCUAGCGUUGUUCGGAAUUACUGGGCGUAAAGCGCGCGUAGGCGGUUACUCAAGUCAGAGGUGAAAGCCCGGGGCUCAACCCCGGAACUGCCUUUGAAACUAGGUGACUAGAAUCUUGGAGAGGUCAGUGGAAUUCCGAGUGUAGAGGUGAAAUUCGUAGAUAUUCGGAAGAACACCAGUGGCGAAGGUGGCUCACUGGACCAGUAUUGACGCUGAGGUGCGAAAGCGUGGGGAGCAAACAGGAUUAGAUACCCCCGUAGUCCCUGUCUCUUAUAA